This 497-nucleotide ribosomal RNA is filed under the name uncultured bacterium. Its description in RNAcentral is "partial 16S ribosomal RNA". It matches the Rfam family "Bacterial small subunit ribosomal RNA", at positions 28 to 507 of the family's 1533-position model. The record is from RNAcentral.
GAUGAACGCUGGCGGCGUGCCUAAUACAUGCAAGUCGAGCGAACAGACGAGGAGCUUGCUCCUCUGACGUUAGCGGCGGACGGGUGAGUAACACGUGGAUAACCUACCUAUAAGACUGGGAUAACUUCGGAAAACCGGAGCUAAUACCGGAUAAUAUAUUGAACCGCAUGGUUCAAUAGUGAAAGACGGUUUUGCUGUCACUUAUAGAUGGAUCCGCGCCGCAUUAGCUAGUUGGUAAGGUAACGGCUUACCAAGGCGACGAUGCGUAGCCGACCUGAGAGGGUGAUCGGCCACACUGGAACUGAGACACGGUCCAGACUCCUACGGGAGGCAGCAGUAGGGAAUCUUCCGCAAUGGGCGAAAGCCUGACGGAGCAACGCCGCGUGAGUGAUGAUGGUCUUCGGAUCGUAAAACUCUGUUAUUAGGGAAGAACAAAUGUGUAAGUAACUAUGCACGUCUUGACGGUACCUAAUCAGAAAGCCACGGCUAACUACGUG